GGAAUAUAAGAACCCGUCUCUUAACUUUUAACUAAAAAAGUUAAGAACCGGCUCUUAAAACUCUUAUUUAAGAGCCGGUUCUUAGUUUUUUUAGUUAAAAGUUAAGAGACGGGUUCUUAUAUUCC
This 125-nucleotide microRNA precursor is filed under the name Brassica napus (rape). RNAcentral's name for it is "MIR9563 microRNA precursor family". It matches the Rfam family "MIR9563 microRNA precursor family". Lineage: Eukaryota; Viridiplantae; Streptophyta; Magnoliopsida; Brassicales; Brassicaceae. The record is from Rfam by way of RNAcentral.